ACAGAUCGCGUGGGUUCCCUUUCCGUUCGUCCUAUUCUUUUCGCGCCACACCUUUCCUCCUCUUUCUUCUAUUGGCUCCCUGCAAUCACGUGGUCUUCUAGAACUAUUAGUAUUGCGUAUAUUCCCGUCAUUUCGUCAACGGGUUUUUAGUGAAACAGUAUCACGCUGUCGGAGUCUCCCAGUGUUGCCAACAACAUGUACAUUUUACACCAUACUUAUGACGCUCAGAAUGUACAAGAUCUGAAUGUAUUUUGUUGCAGUUACUUUAUUUCUUCUAAAAUUCUAUAUCAUCGUCCAAUAUGUGGGCAACUGACAACUUCCAUCUUCACAUCGGGUCCUUUCCAUACUCCAACAUCUGAGUGAUCUUCAAACUCCUACUGCCUUCAGUGAUGAGAGGGAUCAACUGACAUAUGACAUUUCUGAAGAACAUCUUGAGUCUCAUAAUGAGAAGACACUGAAGAUGACGGACAGCCCAGCUGAAAUCCCUACCUGGACAAGAGAAAUAAAGCAAAUUGAAGCACUUUCAAAUCUGAAGACAAUUGUUUUUCAAAUGAACUCCACCAUUUUGAUAACCUUGGGAGGUGUGCAUUUGAUCAAAGAUUUUACUUUGCCCUAAACUUGAAAAGAUUCCUCUAGCAAUGCAACAAUGGGACUUGUAAUGAAUUCUAGAGUAACUGAGUUUACAACAUCUUGGCUUAAUAGAUGGUUACUUUUAAAAGUUUUUUAUAGUUGCCCUUGCAAAUCCUUUAAAUGGAACAUGAGACUCCUGCAAUGGAUUCUAAGUUGUGAAAUCACCGACAGGAUUCAGGAGUGAACUUCAGCAUGAACUCUAACUAUCAAGAUUGAUUUAUACCAAGACUUGCUGUUCAUAGUUUGUGGAAUGAAAAAAAAAAUGGUUUUGGAGUGUCUGGUGCA
Acanthaster planci (crown-of-thorns starfish) is the source of this 915-nucleotide long non-coding RNA. RefSeq lists it as uncharacterized. Lineage: Eukaryota; Metazoa; Echinodermata; Asteroidea; Valvatida; Acanthasteridae. The record is from RefSeq and is a predicted model, not a curated record.